CGUUCACGCACGCGUAGGCAGUCACGCACCUUCCCCAAUUCCCCAACUUCUUCUCAGUCUCAGCAUGUAGCCACGCGCCCACGCCGCCGACGCUGACCGCGGUGGACAGGGAGGGAGCACCGUCCACCGGAGUGCUGCCCGCUGUCUAGCGGAGCAACCGCCGCGGCGACGCCCGCCUGGAUCUUGCCUCGCCCUCGCCGCCUCGGCCCUACCCUGCCCCUCCAGCCCCUGCUCCCACCGCUCAUCGUCCACCGACCACCGGCGUGCGUGCUGCCGGGUGCCGGCCAUCCAAUCUUGCGGCUGGGUGUUCUCCUCCAACUCCAUGGUUGGCGCAUGAUCUGAGCGAGCCCCUUCGGUGUUCUGUCGCUGGUGUACACAUGAAUUAGCCUCCCCGCAUCACACUUUACACAGCAGCAGCUAGCUAGCAGGUAGUCAUGGGCAAGGAAAAUCAGACUCAGAGAAGAAUCGAUUUGGUUUUCAAAAGGAAAAGAGAUGGCAUAAGUGAAGUUGAGGAAGACUUUGUAUUGCCCUUGCUUGAAUUGGAACAACAACAGACUGAACAACAACAUAACCAAGAUGGAGGAGUUCGAACAAAUGAAGCAGUUACAUUCCUAGGCAUUGAGUUCUUGCAGCGAGACCCUGGAUUGCGCCCUCAAAUUUGGCAAUAUCCAACAAAAUGGAGAGAUACUGUGAUGAGAGCAUAUUUGAUGUUAGGUCCUAUGCAACCCCGUCCGGAGAACUAUAAACCUUCAGGUGAACCAGGGCAUCAGCGCCGCUUCCAGUAUAGUUGGUUUGGUGAUUUUCCAUCAUGGCUAGAGUACUCAGAGGACAAAAAUUUCUAGUGUGUGAGCAGGACUGUAUGUGAGUAAGUCCAAUUGUACUGUCUCAACACUUUUGUAUUAGAUAACUUAAUAGUGGAGUUGAUUUCUAGAAUGUAAGCAGGACUGUAUGUGCUGUCUCUACACUUUUGUGUUAGAUAACUUAAUGUACUUGAUGGUUGAACUGUA
This is a long non-coding RNA of Triticum dicoccoides, 1007 nucleotides long. RefSeq lists it as uncharacterized. The record is from RefSeq and is a predicted model, not a curated record. The transcript is spliced from 2 exons. Lineage: Eukaryota; Viridiplantae; Streptophyta; Magnoliopsida; Poales; Poaceae.